Molecule: ribosomal RNA, 380 nt
Filed under: uncultured eukaryote
Lineage: Eukaryota
Description: partial 18S ribosomal RNA
Rfam family: Eukaryotic small subunit ribosomal RNA
Source: RNAcentral
CAAUAGCGUAUAUUAAAGUUGUUGCAGUUAAAAAGCUCGUAGUUGGAUUUGUGGUUUGUCCCGUUGGCCGCGCCUUUAUUGGCGCUGGCUUGAUGGGUCGACCAUCCUUGGGUGGAACCUGUGUGGCAUUAGGUUGUUGCGCAGGGGAUGCCCAUCGUUUACUGUGAAAAAAUUAGAGUGUUCAAAGCAGGCUUAUGCCGUUGAAUAUAUUAGCAUGGAAUAAUGAUAUAGGACCUUGGUACUAUUUUGUUGGUUUGCGCACUGAGGUAAUGAUUAAUAGGGACAGUUGGGGGUAUUCGUAUUCCAUUGUCAGAGGUGAAAUUCUUGGAUUUUUGGAAGACGAACUACUGCGAAAGCAUUUACCAAGGAUGUUUNCAUUA